GAUGAACGCUGGCGGCGUGCCUAAUACAUGCAAGUCGAGCGAACAGACGAGGAGCUUGCUCCUCUGACGUUAGCGGCGGACGGGUGAGUAACACGUGGAUAACCUACCUAUAAGACUGGGAUAACUUCGGGAAACCGGAGCUAAUACCGGAUAAUAUAUUGAACCGCAUGGUUCAAUAGUGAAAGACGGUUUUGCUGUCACUUAUAGAUGGAUCCGCGCCGCAUUAGCUAGUUGGUAAGGUAACGGCUUACCAAGGCAACGAUGCGUAGCCGACCUGAGAGGGGGAUCGGCCACACUGGAACUGAGACACGGUCCAGACUCCUACGGGAGGCAGCAGUAGGGAAUCUUCCGAAAUGGGCGAAAGCCUGACGGAGCAACGCCGCGUGAGUGAUGAAGGUCUUCGGAUCGUAAAACUCUGUUAUUAGGGAAGAACAAAUGUGUAAGUAACUAUGCACGUCUUGACGGUACCUAAGCAGAAAGCCACGGCUAACUACGU
Molecule: ribosomal RNA, 496 nt
Filed under: uncultured bacterium
Lineage: Bacteria
Description: partial 16S ribosomal RNA
Rfam family: Bacterial small subunit ribosomal RNA
Source: RNAcentral